GACGAACGCUGGCGGCGUGCUUAACACAUGCAAGUCGAACGGUGAAGCGCCUUCCUUUUUGGUGGGUGUGGAUGAGUGGCGAACGGGUGAGUAACACGUGAGUAACCUGCCCCCUUCUUCUGGAUAACCGCAUGAAAGUGUGGCUAAUACGGGAUAUUCUGGGUCUGUCGCAUGAUGGGUCUGGGAAAGAUAUUGUUUCGGUGGGGGAUGGGCUCGCGGCCUGUCAGCUUGUUGGUGGGAUGAUGGCCUACCAAGGCGGUGGCGGGUAGCCGGCCUGGGAGGGUGGCCGGUCAGACUGGGACUGAGACACGGCCGAGACUCGUACGGGAGGCAGCAGUGGGGAAUAUUGAACAGUGGGCGCAAGCCUGAUGCAGCGACGCCGCGGGAGGGAUGGAGGCCUUCGGGUUGUGAACCUCUUUCGCCAGUGAAGCAGGCCUGCCUCGUUUGUGGGUGGGUUGACGGUAGCUGGAUAAGAAGCGCCGGCUAACUACGUG
Molecule: ribosomal RNA, 494 nt
Filed under: uncultured bacterium
Lineage: Bacteria
Description: partial 16S ribosomal RNA
Rfam family: Bacterial small subunit ribosomal RNA
Source: RNAcentral